AGUCGUAACAAGGUUUCCGUAGGUGAACCUGCGGAAGGAUCAUUACCGAGUGCAGGUCUGCCCCCGGGCAGGCCUAACCUCCCACCCGUGAAUACCUGACCAACGUUGCUUCGGCGGUGCGCCCCCCCGGGGGUAGCCGCCGGAGACCACAUUGAACCUCUUGUCUUUAGUGUUGUCUGAGCUUGAUAGCAAACCUAUUAAAACUUUCAACAAUGGAUCUCUUGGUUCCGGCAUCGAUGAAGAACGCAGCGAACUGCGAUAAGUAAUGUGAAUUGCAGAAUUCAGUGAAUCAUCGAGUCUUUGAACGCACAUUGCGCCCCCUGGCAUUCCGGGGGGCAUGCCUGUCCGAGCGUCAUUGCUGCCCUUCAAGCCCGGCUUGUGUGUUGGGUCGUCGUCCCCCCUGGGGGACGGGCCCGAAAGGCAGCGGCGGCACCGCGUCCGGUCCUCGAGCGUAUGGGGCUUUGUCACCCGCUCGAUUAGGGCCGGCCGGGCGCCAGCCGGCGUCUCCAACCUUCUAUUUUACCAGGUUGACCUCGGAUCAGGUAGGGAUACCCGCUGAACUUAAGCAUAUCAAUAA
This 577-nucleotide unclassified non-coding RNA is filed under the name Aspergillus insuetus. RNAcentral describes it as "sequence contains 18S rRNA gene, ITS1, 5.8S rRNA gene, ITS2, 28S rRNA gene". The stretch from base 202 to 355 matches the Rfam family "5.8S ribosomal RNA". The record is from RNAcentral. Lineage: Eukaryota; Fungi; Ascomycota; Eurotiomycetes; Eurotiales; Aspergillaceae.